This 254-nucleotide ribosomal RNA is filed under the name uncultured bacterium. RNAcentral's name for it is "partial 16S ribosomal RNA". It matches the Rfam family "Bacterial small subunit ribosomal RNA", at positions 524 to 776 of the family's 1533-position model. The record is from RNAcentral.
UACGUAGGGUCCAAGCGUUGUCCGGAUUUAUUGGGAGUAAAGAGCUCGUAGGCGGCUCAGUAAGUCGGAUGUGAAAACUCGGGGCUCAACCCCGAGACGCCAUCCGAUACUGCUGUGGCUUGAGUCUGGUAGGGGAACACGGAAUUCCUGGUGUAGCGGUGAAAUGCGCAGAUAUCAGGAGGAACACCGAUGGCGAAGGCAGGUCUCUGGGCAUUAACUGACGCUGAGGAGCGAAAGCAUGGGGAGCGAACAGG